Molecule: transfer RNA, 73 nt
Filed under: Marmota monax (woodchuck)
Lineage: Eukaryota; Metazoa; Chordata; Mammalia; Rodentia; Sciuridae
Description: tRNA.Val
Rfam family: tRNA (bases 11-66)
About the family: Transfer RNA (tRNA) molecules are approximately 80 nucleotides in length. Their secondary structure includes four short double-helical elements and three loops (D, anti-codon, and T loops). Further hydrogen bonds mediate the characteristic L-shaped molecular structure. tRNAs have two regions of fundamental functional importance: the anti-codon, which is responsible for specific mRNA codon recognition, and the 3' end, to which the tRNAs corresponding amino acid is attached (by aminoacyl-tRNA synthetases). tRNAs cope with the degeneracy of the genetic code in two manners: having more than one tRNA (with a specific anti-codon) for a particular amino acid; and 'wobble' base-pairing, i.e. permitting non-standard base-pairing at the 3rd anti-codon position.
Source: RNAcentral
GUGGUUGUACAGCUCAGUGGUAGAGUGCUUGCCUCACAUGUAUGAGGCACUGGGUUCGAUCCUCAGCAUCGCA